RNAcentral lists this ribosomal RNA (443 nucleotides) under uncultured bacterium. RNAcentral describes it as "partial 16S ribosomal RNA". It matches the Rfam family "Bacterial small subunit ribosomal RNA", at positions 338 to 795 of the family's 1533-position model. The record is from RNAcentral.
CCUACGGGGCGCUGCAGUGGGGAAUAUUGGGCAAUGGGCGCAAGCCUGACCCAGCAACGCCGCGUGCAGGAAGAAGGCUUUCGGGUUGUAAACUUCUUUUCUCAGGGACGAAGCAAGUGACGGUACCUGAGGAAUAAGCCACGGCUAACUACGUGCCAGCAGCCGCGGUACUACGUAGGUGGCGAGCGUUAUCCGGAUUUACUGGGUGUAAAGGGCGUGUAGGCGGGAAAGCAAGUCAGAUGUGAAAACCAUGGGCUCAACCUGUGGCCUGCAUUUGAAACUGUUGUUCUUGAGUACUGGAGAGGCAGACGGAAUUCCUAGUGUAGCGGUGAAAUGCGUAGAUAUUAGGAGGAACACCAGUGGCGAAGGCAGUCUGCUGGACAGCAACUGACGCUGAGGCGCGAAAGCGUGGGUAGCAAACAGGAUUAGAUACCCCGGUAGUC